This 1362-nucleotide long non-coding RNA is filed under the name Gossypium raimondii (Peruvian cotton). Its description in RNAcentral is "long non-coding RNA (GRAI_LNC004796)". The record is from RNAcentral. Lineage: Eukaryota; Viridiplantae; Streptophyta; Magnoliopsida; Malvales; Malvaceae.
GGGAAGCUAAAAAAUGAAAUUAAUUGCCAGAGUCUCGACCCUGGGAGGGCUAAUUUUUAGCAUUGUUGGCAUUGUAAUAGGCCAUUUUAGCCCGGGCCCAAAUACAUAAACCUGGAAAUAAAAAUACAAUAAAUUACAGACCCAGUUUUAAACCCAAUAACACCCCAACCCUAAAUAAACCCACUAGCCUAAAACACUAAACAGAAUCAAAGAACCCUAAGCAGUUAGCAGCAGCCGCCUUUGUCGCAGCAAUCGUUCCACUUAAGGGUGUGCAAAAUUCGGGUAAAACCGAAAAAAUUCGGUUAACCGACCGAAUUCGGUUAAUCGGUCGGUUAACCGAAUUUUUUCGGUCGGGGUCGGUUAAUUAUUUUUUAAUUUUUCGGUUAACGAUAAUUCGGUUCGAAACCAGUUGGUUAACCGAAUUUUUUCGGUUAACCGAAAAAAUUAAUAAAUAAAAUUAUAAUAUACAAAUAGGCCCACUAUUCACCUAAACCCAAUCUAAACCCAAGUAUUCAACCCAACCCAAUUACCCAACCCAACCCAAUCAUAAAAUUAAAUUACAAAUAAUUUAAUAAAUAAAAAUAAAAUUUUAAAACUAAGACUAAAACUAAAGUCUAAAAGUCUAAAAAUAAUUUAAUUAUGUAGUGAUUCAAUUUGGUUAAUUUGGUUAAUUUGGUUAAUUCGGGUAAUUCAGUUAAUUCGGUUAAUUUUUAACCAAAAAUAAAAAAACAUAUAAUUUUCGGUUAAUUCGGUUAACCGACCGAAUUAACCUGAAAAAAUUUCGGUUCGGUUAAUUUUUUUGAAAAAAUUUCGGUUCGGUUAACGGUUAAAGAUUUUGAAAGGUCAGUUAAUUCGGUUAAUGUUAUUUCGGGUCGGUUAACCGAAUGAACACCCCUAGUUCCACUGCCCACGUCGUUGCUCGCACGUUUAGCCCUUCACGCACGCACCUGCAAACUACGAAUAGCACUAAGAGGAUAUACACAGCAAAAAAAUUGUAAAAAGGGGGGGGGGGGAUUUCAAUUGUAUAAAGGGGGAAUGGAUUGAUGUAAAAAGGGGUUAGUAAAAUAUUGUAUUGAAAGAAAAGAAAUACGAGUAAAGAAUCAGUGGAGAAAAUUUUGGAAAGGUGAUCGGUUUUGUUUUUUUUUUCCCUGUUCUUUUUACUGUUUUUUUAUUUUAUUUUGGGGCUUUUCCUUUGAUUUUUAAAGCAAAAAUAAAAACAAAAGGGAAGGAAAAAGAGAGCUUAUCGUUGAGGCGCCGUCGUCGUCGUUGUGGCCGGUCGGAAAUGGGUCUGAAACGGUGGAAGGGAGAUGGCAACGGCGUGAUUUUAAAAUGGUAGAGGAGUUCUUUUUUUAGGGGUCUGAA